AUUGAACGCUGGCGGCAUGCUUUACACAUGCAAGUCGAACGGUAACAGGGUGCUUGCACCGCUGACGAGUGGCGAACGGGUGAGUAAUGCGUCGGAACGUGCCGAGUAGUGGGGGAUAACGCAUCGAAAGGUGUGCUAAUACCGCAUACGUACUGAGGUAGAAAGUGGGGGACCUUCGGGCCUCACGCUAUUCGAGCGGCCGACGUCUGAUUAGCUAGUUGGUGAGGUAAAGGCUCACCAAGGCGACGAUCAGUAGCGGGUCUGAGAGGAUGGUCGGCCACACUGGGACUGAGACACGGCCCAGACUCCUGCGGGAGGCAGCAGUGGGGAAUUUUGGACAAUGGGCGCAAGCCUGAUCCAGCCAUGCCGCGUGUCUGAAGAAGGCCUUCGGGUUGUAAAGGACUUUUGUCCGGGAGCAAAUACCCAGUGCUAAUAACGCUGGGGGCUGAGAGUACCGGAAGAAUAAGCACCGGCUAACUACGUGCCAGCAGCCGCCGUAA
This 500-nucleotide ribosomal RNA is filed under the name uncultured bacterium. RNAcentral's name for it is "partial 16S ribosomal RNA". It matches the Rfam family "Bacterial small subunit ribosomal RNA", at positions 30 to 523 of the family's 1533-position model. The record is from RNAcentral.